This 19-nucleotide small nuclear RNA is filed under the name Arabidopsis thaliana (thale cress). RNAcentral's name for it is "snRNA_16762". The record is from RNAcentral. Lineage: Eukaryota; Viridiplantae; Streptophyta; Magnoliopsida; Brassicales; Brassicaceae.
UCCCAAUGAUGACUUAUUA